UUACCGUGUUAUGCGUAGUUUGUUAAUAUUAUACGUGACGCGUUGACGGUCUCUGCCGUACGUCUGUAUAUUCUGGAUCCGCCAUGUCAUUCAUUCGUUUGAACAGGCAGAAAACUCGAGCAGAACCGGACUCAGGUGAGUCAGUCAUCUGCCGCGACUGCAACAGGUUUAGAGAGAGAUGUGAAGACUGGUGAAUGUAUUUGAAGCAGCUGGACAGCAUACAUGUCCACCGCAGCAAAACAUCCAGAUGAACCUACAAAAAAGACACAUCGGCACUGCAAAUGAAGUAAAAAAAAACAUGCUGCAAGAAGCCAAAACAACUGCAUGCACAGCAAAAAUACUGCAAAUACACCAAUGAUACAAAGCAAAAAUCUGUUGUAAUUCAUGCAACUGAUUGAAGACUUGAAAACGAGGCACAGGAGACUUUAAGUGAAGAGAAUUUAGAUGCUGCUUGAAAGAGAACACAAAAAAGUUGUUAAUCAGUGUGAACUUAAAAGAAUAUUCCGGCGGGAAAUUAAUUUAGGGUCAAACAAACCCUAACAACAGGACAUAUAGGGUCACAGCUGGGUCACCCCGCUGUAGUCUGUAAAGGACUGGCCUGAAGUCUUGCUACAAACAAGCUGCUGUUGGAAGAGAGACGUUGAGCUGUGUUUAGUCUCUUUGCUAAAAAAAAUCAGGCAGUUAAAAAGAUGUUUGGUGGCUGGUACUAUGACUGGGACCGUAUAUGUCCUGUUGAUGAAGUUAGGUGCUGUUCUGAGCAUUAUUUGUGGCUAUAGAGUGGCAUUUUGAUUGCACGUGUGGCUCUCUGUGGUCGUUACUAAAGUUGGUAUAACUACAGAAGCAAACAUUCAUCUCUCGACGGGGUGUCUAACUCAGUGUUACAGUGUGUUUGACCCUAAAUUAAUUUUACACCGGAAUAUCCCUUUAAACACUGCUGAGGGUUUCCCUUCACUCCCUAAAACUUAAACACAUCCUAAAAUAAAAUAACCUUUUAUCCAAAACUCACUCAGGUGAAGUUUGACGGCCAAAGAAAGCUCUUAGUGUUUCAGCCGGACUUUUAAAUUAAAUUUUAAACUCUUUAAAAUGCUGGUUUUUUUUUUCCUCCAUAAGAGGAAGGUGAGGAGGAAGUGUUCCUCUUUGCUGAGUCCUCUCCUUUCAUAACUGGGACACCUCGCAGCGAUUUAUUGUGCUUGUUACAGGAAGAGAAAUGUUGGCAGUGGUCAGGUCGGUUCCACCGCUGAGAGUUCAGGUAGCGUAGCAUGGAACAGAGAUAUUGUUGCCAUGGUUACCUGAAUGUUAAUACCACCUUUUUGGUCCUCCUGAUAAAGAGCAGCAGUUUAAAGAGAUGAAUCAAACUUUGAUAUAGUGUUUUAAUUCUUUUGUGCGGUCUUAUAAACAGCCUUCAGUUACGUACAAACGUCUCUUUUCAUAUUUUAAGACAUAAAUCAUUUAGAAACCACUUUCAGGGAUAAAAAACGCAAAUAAAGUAAAAUAAUUACGUGUUUUGUGCAGAGGAGAAAUCCAUUAGAGCGGCAGAAUAUCGAUCUUAAUGCAAUAAUCUAAACUCUCUCUUUCUGCGUUCCUCUUUUCACCUUUUCAAAUAAAUCCAGAGUGCUAAAAUAUCAGCCGAGCGCUCGGCAGAUCAGCAUAUUAAAGAUAAUUACACAACCAGUUUGUCAUUCAGUUCAGUGAAGAGCGUCUCUUCAUUUGUUUGGGAAUAAUGCGCCACUCAAACACGCUGCUCUGCGCAGGGUUACUCUAGUAACCUUUUCUAUGAAUAGUAAAUGUCACCGUAAUCAAUUUUAGAUGGGGCGGCUCUGCAGGUGGAGCCUGGAGCAGGUUGGGAGGAGGAGAAGGAGGAGGAGAAGGAGGAGGAGGAGAGCUGCUGCUGCUGGAGUAGAUGUUUUUCUAGAAGCUUUGUGAGGCAGACGGACCCGAGACUGAAAAUGAGAGAGGAGAGAGUGUGGACAUGUUAGAGACAAAGAAAGUGUCCUCAUGGUCUCUCCAAGAUGAUGUCCAAUCUUGUCUCAGUGGUGGAAAAGCCUUAAUCUGUUAUUGGGCGUCCCUUUCAGCGAUCUUACGAGUGUUAGUUUCAUCUCAGGUGAAAAGUGCAGCUAAACCAAGAGGGAGACGUCUGCAGCUGAUGCACAAGUGCUGAAAAAGUGUAGAUACAGAGCAGAUACUAGAUUAAAGCUCCUGUGAGGAGUUAUUCUAACAUUUAUGAGAUUUUUUAAUAAUAUCUGAAAGAGAACAAGACUGAACAUUUUUCUACUAGGUUGUGUUUUUGCAUUUUCCUGCUUAAUUUUAAUUAAUUUUAGGUGGAGACUAUUCUAAAGAACAUGGAUCACCCACUUCACAACACCUUAAUGCAGUGGUUCUCAAGCCCUGUCCUCGAGGCCCACUGUUUCCCUGCUCCAACACACCUGAUUCAAAUGAUGAGCUCAUUUGAAUCAGGUGUGUUGGAGCAGGGAAACAGUGGGCCUCGAGGACUGGACUUGAGAACCAAAGAGCCAAUGCUGGUGGACGGCUCCUCUCUCAGAAGAUCUUUUGUGCCAACAGCCAUCAGACUUUAUAACUUUUGUGUAAAUAGUAGAUAAACUUUUAGAGACAUGACAAAUGAGACGACAGACAAUUGAAUUUCCCUUAGAGGAUUAAUAAAGUUCUUCUUAAAAUACAAUCAGUGAUACUUGUGAGUGUCAAGAGGACACAACUUUGGCACAUAGAUGACAAGAUAAGUAAAGACUUCUUUGUCCACAGGGGGCGCCAAAACUGCCUCAACACUUUAAAGCAGCAGCUGAGAACAAGCGGCAGAAAACCCAGGCUAUGACAAGUUGAUAUUAUUUAGUUUGCUGGUCCCAAAGCUGACUGAGAAUGAGUAAAAUGAAAUCUAGAUCUUCCUCCUGAGUUUCCCCUGUUAGCUCAGGGGAGGAUUUUGGCACAUGCUAGUUGUCAGGAGUAAAAUUUCUGCUCAUGACUUGUUUUCUCACCUUACCUCCCUCCUGUGUUUUCAGUCUGAUAGAAAAGAAACACCUCAACCAGAACUCCAAACCUUAAAGCGAACAGGAGAGAGAGCGGCUCACCGAGCAGGCUGUGUCGUUUUCUCUAUCGGGAGCUGCAGCGAGCCCUCGAAAUAAAAUCAACUCCUGCAGACUGAACAUCACUCAACGCUGCUGUCUGAGGACGCCCCAGUUCUAGGACCAUAUGUCAGGUCUGCACUCGGUCGGAUCAGGUAUGUUUGAGUUACAAAUUCGAUCUAAAGGAAGGAAAGCAGAUGAACGUACUUCAGGAGGAGAUUUACACUCAAAAGAUCGUUUACUUAUUACAGGUCCGUCCAUCAAUGAGCUUUACUGUUUGUCCAGGUCAAGGUUAUGGAGGACUCGAGGCGGAGUGCACCCUGGACAGACUGCCAAUGUAUCAUCAGGCUGCAACCAGAAACACUCCCAGGUUAGUUGGAGCUAUAAAACUUCCAGUAAUACCAGGAUUUCAUAGUCCUGGUCGUUUCCGUUGGUCGCCACAUGUCAAAAAUUGGAGGAGAAACGAAGAAGAAGUAGCGUCUGCCAGCAAACUAGCUGUGUCAGUUCUCUCACGGAUGUUUCAGCACUUUGAAAACUGACAUCCAGAUUUAUUUUUAACCCAAAAACAACAUUAGAGUGAAAAUCUGAUAUCGUUGCAGCCCAAUCGUUGGUCCUUGUAUCGUUGUUUCAUAACACCUCUUCAGAUUUCACCUGUAAAUCCUUCAGGGAAAGACUGAGGAGAUGUUUACAGAGCUAUCCUCCUGGUACGAGGUCUCACUCUGCUCCAAAGUAAACACCGCCACCUGACUGAGUUCACUCUCUGACCUGCUCAAAGCCUCGGGGAUCCAGGUGGGGUCACGACGAGCCGCGGGUCCUCUUAGUCUGAACCGAGUCGCAGCAUCUGGAGCUCAUCCACUCGACACAGAGCUGAUGAUGCUGCAUGUUUUAUUCAAAGCUCUUAGUGUCAUAGCAUUUUAAUCUGCAAUCAACCCGCCUCUUCAGGGCUUACGUUACCUUCUCUGAGAUCCUGACGGCAGGGUUAAAAUAAGGACAGAGGUAUUUCUUUAAAAAUGAAAAAGCUCUGAUGUUGUUUUUAAUAAAUCCCCCGAAGAAAAGAACAAAGAAUUUCUGCCUCAAAACCCCAAAAAUGAAUCUUGUUUAUUUUUAACAACAGAAACACUUUAUUUUGAAGGCCUGAAUGUUGUUUUAAAGGCUGAAGCAGAAGUCAGGGUAUUACCUAAAGGCUGCUUUAAACAUGGGGCCUGAAUUAUACAUUAGUUGGCAUAAGCAUGCCGGGCUUGUAGGAGGUCAUAAUAGGUACUCAGUCCGCAACGCCGCUCACCACAGGGAAACAAUGUGAGCACGGGGAUUUAGCAUCUUCUUAUAGAGUGUAGGUAACAGUGUGGUUUAAACCGUGUAGCUACAGAGUGGAGCUGAACCCAACAGUAUGAAACAGACGUGGAUCAAAAGGUUUCUGCUUGUGCAGAGACGCAAUAACCAAAGACUGUGCAUGGAUUUAAGGCCGAAACGCAGAGACCAAACGAUGUUUCGCACCAGAGUUGUGAAAAUGACUGUGCUGGUAUCAAUAAACCACAGCGUUGCGUUCAACUGUACAGUCUUUAUUUCUUUAUUCCUCGCUUCGAGUACCAUGAAACUAAAACACAGAAAAAAUACAAAUCAAUUUCCAACAUAAACACAAUUUCACAAUUAAAUCAACAACAAUGAUAACAUUCGAAACAAUUUCUCCUUCCAACAUUAUCAAUCAAAUUGUUUCACACUCCCUACCUCUCUUCGCCCACCAAGGGUGCAAACUGGAUCCAAAAGCCUCUUGUACUCGACCCCAGACCAACUGCACCCGAUGAUAAGAACGAACAAACAAAAUAAAUGUACGUAAAUGCUGAGUUUAUUAUCACAGACAGCCGGAAAACUUUAGUUCAACUUUCCUUUAAGUACACAUACUUUUGAUCAUUUCCUCUCUCCACAACAACCCGCUCAUUUUCGUGUAACAAACUGGGGCGUGACAUCACUAUUUAACCCCUUUGUCGGUGUGACGACCCCAGACUUGAAUAACCAGCUUAGCGGGCCACUUAAAGACUGUAUCAGGCUGGACCUGGGUGUAUCCAUAGACUGUAUAAUAUAUGGAUGGAGUGAUAGUGGCGUCAGUAAGAUAGAGGAUUAGGGCAACAAGAAGAGACAAAAAAAAUUACCGGAGGCAGAUUUUUUUAAUUUCCAUUUCAAGAUUAAAGUUUAAAAAAGUUGAGAUUUUUCGUCUUUAUUCAUGUCGACUUUAAUCUCGAAAUGUUGAUUUAAUUCUCAAAUUUUUAAUUUUUUAAUCUCGAAAUUUCUACAUUAUUCACGACAUUUUGUAAUCUUGAUAUUUUGGCUUUAAUCUUGAAAUUUCAACUUCAUUGACAUAAUUUCAAUUUUUUAAUCUUGAAAUUUCAACUUCAUUGACAUAAUUUCGACUUUAAUCUCCUUUCUGUAAUUAUUUUUUUUCUCUUCAUGUGGCCCUAAUCCUCUUUUUCGUACGUCACAUAUUUAUUGGUGAAGCUGAAUUUUGACUUAACCUUACUUUAGGACCUACCAGAAUCUCAAAGCCGACUUAUAACCAGCUCCAGUGUACCCACCUCACAGUCAAGUCAGCUUUGCCUCUGAUUCACCGAUCCUGAAAUCUUUAUAUCUUCUUAACAAACACACCAGUACUAAUGUCUGCAGUUUUAACACUCCCACAUCAGCUUAAUUUCUCACUGUUUAACUUUUAUGACUGGUUUUAAAUACAGCUUUAAAAACAAGAGACUUUCUCCUCCAAACGCCCCGGUAACAAGGUGACCUGAUAUAUUCAAUGGAGGAGAGUGAGAAUCGGCGUUCCUCAGGGAGUUCGAUGAUAAAACCGUAGAUCAACUUGACCUGCUUCUGUCUCUGCUUUUCUACUCAUCACUAUUUGCUCCUGCUCUGCAAAGAAUUUCUCAGAAAAGGAGAUUUUAAUGAGUCUAAAGAGAAGGAUCAACAUUUGGAGUUGUUGUUGCCGCUUAUAUCGUGAUAUUCAAACCAACAUAAACAUCCCAACACAACUUCAUUCUCGGCUCAUUUUAGCAACACAGGGAAAUAAAAACCCAGACAGCAAACAGAUGCACUCAGGAGCGCAGAGUACACAAUCAAUACCUGUUAUUUACCUGUUAUGAGAUGCUUUUAGCAGUAGAGUACAUGAGGAUGAGAGAGGCAGAGCAGCGCAGCUCUGCACAUAAUAUACCUGAAAUUAUAGGCUGCAGAUGGAUGGCAAAUACGCGCUCCCAUCUCUUUCCUUCAGAUGGCUUACAGGGAUUUUAUCAACAGGGAAGAACUUCAAACAUGUGUGGAUGACAGAUAUUAAUCCAGAGCAGCAGGGACUCCACUUCCCCUCAACAUUCACAGUUUGAGCCGAGCAAAUUCAAAGCUCAAUAGCUGAAACGUGGCCGUAGUACUUAAGUACAUCCUAAACUGUCACUUUAUGGGAGAUUAGAAGACCCGGGCAUGGACUACAUUUACAUAGACUGAACUACACGAACGCUGCAACCCUUAAAAAACUGUAAAGGAUGUGAACUAUCAAAGUAGAAGUACCAGGUAACGGUGAUGUGAUGAAAAGCUGACAGGGGUGUGUCCGAUCUUAUUGACCGAGGUGGCCCAGCCCAACAGCUUACAUCAUUUACAUUUGGGGAAACUUAUUAUUAUAUUAUACUCACUCACCUUUCAUUAUGUCAAUUUGCAUGAAAAAAAAAUCCAGAUUUGUCUAAUAAUGGCGUCUGCAAAAACCCCUACAUCAGCAUUUUUUUUUACUUCUACUUAAAAAGUUGCAUUUCAACUGAUUUAAAGUUAAAGAGAGCUCAUGGGUGUUACUUUUUACACAGCUUUUAGCCACAUUAGCAUAUGUAAGCGAUUAUAACGUUGCAUGUUGUCAUAAUAAAGCUUAUAGCUUACAAUUUUGAGUCGUUAUUGAGGGUCUUUACCAUAGACUGUGUUUACUAUGGACAACUUGGCUCCGCCUUUCGUCAUUACACGCAUUUGAAGCCAAUUUGCUCUCGGUAUUUCCGGUGGGAGAGUCGCUGUGAUGACGCUCGCCUCAAAUAGCGUAUCCCCUGAAUGAGCUACGCAAUCUUGGUACGCCCAUAGGCUGUAUCAGGUGUCAAUCAUAGAAAACAUGAACCCCCUAAUAACUUUUUAAAAAGAGGACUUGAGCACAAACCAGUCUGACAGUAACUACAUGUCAACAUCACAACCAGGGGGGAGAAACAUUUAUAUUCUGUGUCAUUAAUUUCUAAAGUUUGUCCAUAGUUCCAUAGGGAUUGCUGGAGGAGGCGGGAUUUAUGACCUAUACUGCAGCCCGUCACCAGAGGGUGCUGUUCUAUAUACAGUCUGUGAUCUCUACAAAUUAAAAAGCUUCAAACUCUCUUAACAUUCGUGAUGCAAAAUGAAAGCGCUAAAACUGCAAUUCCUCUGGUGUCCACUAGAGGCUGUCUCAUAAGUACCCAGGACCACAUGGUCACCUCUCUCAGCCCCCAUCUCUUUAUAAUUUCAUGUAAUGUCAGAGGUUAAUAUGAAAUGAUCAGUUCAGAGAUAAAAAUAAACAUGAAGUGGAUAAUAACGGACUGAUGAAGUCAGAAGGUGGAGCAGGAAGGUUGGAUAAAAAAAGUAAAAGACCAACGAUGUCGAUCACAAACAGUCCGGUAAAGAAGAAGAAGGGAAAAGUACGAUAUUAUUCUGGUCUAAUCCAAUCCAAUCCACUCUUGAAUGGACAAGUUGGAACCAAUUUUCAUGAGGGAUUGAGAGGGUGCUUUCAAUUGAACUGAAUCGGAAGCUCAUCGGUUACAUAAGAGUGUAAUGUUUGCUAUUCACCUACUUCUAGUCAUGCAAAAAUCUGGAUAGAUGCGAUAAUAAGAACAAAAAGGACAAUAUUUAUAAUGGCAGUGGUAAAUAAGCCGUAAGAGAAACAGCGUGUGUGCAUGUAAGAAGGUGUUUCCACUGAAGAAGAGGAGGAGGAGUGUGUUUGUGUGUGUGUGUGUUUCAGAGAGAGAGAGAGUCUGACAGCCCGUCUCACAGCUGGGAUACCCGGUCUCAGGAGUGGGGCGAUGGAGCCACGGGGGCGCGGGUUAUUUUGGGAACCACAGAGGAGGAAGCGCUUAUUUUUCACCGCCCCUCCUCCCCCAGCCUCCCACCGUCUGACAGCUCCCUCUGUUCAUUUGCACAAUCUCAAUUAGCCUUCAGCGGGGAGAAUAAAGCAAGUGGUCAGACAAAAUCCUCUAAAGGGUCUAUUCAGCACAGGCCAGGGGAUUGUGUGUGUGUGUGUGAGUGUGUGUGUGUGGGGAUAUAAAUACAUCUGAGACUGAUGGUGUGUUUGAUGUUUGCACCGGGCUGCAGCUCCAAGGUUCAACCUCUAAAAAAGGUCUUUGAAACAGAUCUGUGAUGUCAAACACUUACUUUCAUAUAACAGGACAGGAUGUAUGUCUGUAUCUAUGAAAACACAUCCUGAAUGCACCUUUUGUUCCAGGAGGGACAUUCGCACCUUUACAAAUAAACGGAUCAAACGGACGCGUCAAGAUGGAAAAAGCAGAGUCCCCCUGUGGAUCUCACUCAUUAGGAGACGGGUUAAAGAUGCAGCUUCAUUAUCACAGCGGUGACAUAGAAAUGACAGAGUGAAUUGAGGUGAGACUCAUGGACAG
Non-coding RNA from Xyrichtys novacula (pearly razorfish), 8707 nucleotides. The record is from the annotation of a GenBank genome assembly. NCBI's taxonomy places the organism in Eukaryota, Metazoa, Chordata, Actinopteri, Labriformes, Labridae.